CACACACAUAUUUUUUGCUCUAAUUGAUGGUGGUAUCAUCGCCAUCUUAUCAUCAUUAAUGGCUAUCACGUUUCGCCAACAAAACAAACGACGAUGAUUACCACUGUCCAUUUUAUAAUGAUGAUUCAUGUUUUACGUGUGUAUGUGUGGUGACAAAAUUACGAAAGAUGAAAAAAAAUCAUCCAUAUCUUUUAAAAUACAGGAAACAAAAUCAUUAUCUUAAAAGCAAACCAUAUGUGUCUAGCUGCCCGUCUAAAUGGAUUUCAUCCAAAUUUUUUCCUGUAAAUUAAUCCUGGAAAUGGAUUAGAAUUUUUUCCUCUCUUCUGCAAAUCACACCACCUCUCUUAAAGCGGAGUCAAAUUACCAUAAAAUCGUGGUCUUCGGUGACGAUUUGUUUUUGGUUGUUGUUGUUGUGAUUGUUGUUGUUGUUGUUGUUGUGGUUGUUGUUGUGUACAAUCACAAUUACAAUCAUUGGCAUACGAUAAAUCGAUCAAAAUCAUCAACAGAAACAUUAUGAUCAUGAUCAUUUGUUGUCCAUUGAUUGUGGAUAAUUUUUUCAUAAACAAUGUGAUUUCCAUCAAUAAAUGUCGAUAUAAUUGUUUGGCUAUGUCCAUCAUCAUUUUUUUUUUUAAAUCACAAAUAACUUGAAUAUUGGUUUUUCUACUUGAGAAAUGCGCAAAUAGAUUCUAGACGAGAAAGAAAGAAGCAAAACAAAACAAAAAACGGUUAAUGUUCAAUGUUCCAUUUGCACGAGAGUAAAUAUACAGCAUUGGAACAAUUGUUCAACUUUUUCAUUGUGAUUGCUGAUUAUUUAAUAAAAAUUUCUAAUUUGAAUUCAAAA
Molecule: non-coding RNA, 841 nt
Organism: Dermatophagoides farinae (American house dust mite)
Lineage: Eukaryota; Metazoa; Arthropoda; Arachnida; Sarcoptiformes; Pyroglyphidae
Source: RefSeq, a predicted model, not a curated record